GGGCUAUAGCUCAGUGGUAGAGCAUCUGCCUUGCAUGUAGAAGGUCCCAGGUUCAAAUUCCCAGCAUCUCCA
Molecule: transfer RNA, 72 nt
Filed under: Podarcis lilfordi (Lilford's wall lizard)
Lineage: Eukaryota; Metazoa; Chordata; Lepidosauria; Squamata; Lacertidae
Description: tRNA.Ala
Rfam family: tRNA
About the family: Transfer RNA (tRNA) molecules are approximately 80 nucleotides in length. Their secondary structure includes four short double-helical elements and three loops (D, anti-codon, and T loops). Further hydrogen bonds mediate the characteristic L-shaped molecular structure. tRNAs have two regions of fundamental functional importance: the anti-codon, which is responsible for specific mRNA codon recognition, and the 3' end, to which the tRNAs corresponding amino acid is attached (by aminoacyl-tRNA synthetases). tRNAs cope with the degeneracy of the genetic code in two manners: having more than one tRNA (with a specific anti-codon) for a particular amino acid; and 'wobble' base-pairing, i.e. permitting non-standard base-pairing at the 3rd anti-codon position.
Source: RNAcentral